CAGAAUGGAGCUGUUUGUUGCCAGUCUUUGCAACUAUGCCAAAGAGAAGCCAGUCUUGGUGCUAAGACUAAAGAGAUAAGAUUAGGGAGCCACAGAAGCUGCUGAAGAAAAUUAAUGAAGCAGAGGCUACCGAAGCAAGUCUGCUAAUGACAGCUAAAGAUAAGAUUAUAAGCCUGUCCUUGGGACUGAAGCAAAGACACUGCCUGAUGACGCAGAAACUAAAACAACCUCUGCCAUUUUAUAGAACUACAUUAAAUAGCAGAAGCUCACUUUUCUAGGAGUGAAAAGUUUGUAUUGAAGUUUAGAAGUUUUGGAUUUAUUGUGAUUUUCCUUGUCUAUGGAAACUAUCAGAGGAGCAGCCGGCCUAAUUUAAAAACCACCAAGAAAUAAGCAUCAGAGGAAACAGAAAACAGAGACAGUACUUUGGGGCCCAUCAGCUCCUCAGGUUGAAAUCCAUUUAUGAUCUAACUCAUAUAAUCUUGCAAAUGCAAGCAAUACAUGAAGAGAAUGACACAGAAGUGAAACUUUGCGUGCAACAAAAAUCCAUUUUCAUCGGGAAAAAAUGGCAUGGAUCAUAGAAGAGUGCUUCUAGGAACAGCACACAGAGCAACAAGCCAAGGUUUUUGAGGAGUAGAACUGCCUUUCUUGACGUCACUCCCACCAAAGGUGGUAAUACGUACCUCUUGCACCACAUUCAUGCCAACAUGUUUGUAGUAGAGAAAAGAAUCAUGAGGAGUUCAAUUCUGCACCCCUGAUGGAAACAUCUCAACUAAUUUCAAGGAAUAUGCAUCCUCAAACCAUGAUAUUGCAGAGCCAGAUAGACAAGAGAGAAUAGCAUCUAUGGAUGUCACUUGAAUUGCAUCAGCUAUUAGAAAAUGGCUCUGCGUCUGCUGGAUAGACACCUGUACCCACCUGUUGGAGAAAAUAUUGGUUCAGGCUUCUCCAAAGUGUCUAGGCCUCAUUACUAUUAUUGGAACUGCUGAAACUGCAAUUGCAAGGCUAUGAAGGUAAUGGAAGCUAAACCGCAAAUGCUUGCCAGUGGAGAAAUGAGGAAAUGGGCAGGGGAGGAUGAAAUAGUUAUUUCAUGGGAAAGGAAGAAACAAGUUAUCUGGACAUGCAUAUUUUGGAAGAUAUACAUUUACUGAUGCCAAGUUAUUGUGUUGAUGAAUGUGUAAUCAUGUGAUAAUUGUGUAAUCAAUGUAACCUUGAAAAGGGUAUAUAAACUCACUGUGUGGAACAUUUCGGGGGGCUUACACUGAGGCUCUAUCUCUGUGUGACUCCUCAAGCAAUUGGAUGUAUUUAAA
Rhineura floridana is the source of this 1304-nucleotide long non-coding RNA. RefSeq lists it as uncharacterized. Lineage: Eukaryota; Metazoa; Chordata; Lepidosauria; Squamata; Rhineuridae. The record is from RefSeq and is a predicted model, not a curated record. The transcript is spliced from 5 exons.